RNAcentral lists this transfer RNA (3339 nucleotides) under Paramuricea clavata. Lineage: Eukaryota; Metazoa; Cnidaria; Anthozoa; Malacalcyonacea; Plexauridae. The record is from RNAcentral.
CAGUUGUUGUUAGUUGUCUCUAACGUCGUUUGGUAAGUCUGUCAUAAAUAUACUGCAUUUGGUUGGAUAGUUAAAUUAAUGUGAUUGUAAUUUUAAAGUUAAUCGUUAUUAUAUAGUUAAAAGCAAUAAUUUUUUUAACUAUUUUUGGUGUGUUGUACAAAAAAUAUAAUAAAAAUUAAAAAAUUUUAAAUUAUCAUGGUUGCCAAGGCAACACUGAGGUAAACGCAUUGAACUAAAAUAUAUGGAACGCUACCUUAACUGAACAUGCCCAGACUUGCCUGAAGCCAAAUUUUACCUCCAGACACGCGUGUCUGGAGGUAAAAUUCACGCGCGUUGUCGCGUUUCCUGCGUGGCGCCGAAGAACAGCGACAGCCAACCAACAUGCAUUUAUAGCAACAUGUGAUUGAAAAGGUUUUGAAAAGGAAGGCACUUCUCUUGUUAUGGAGCUAAUCGGUUAAAUUUUCAUUCAAUACAGCAUGAAUCAUAACUUUUCAUACGUGUAUUCGAUCGGUAAAUCGGGGAAAUGAAACAUUUUUUCGUUCAAAUUGAAUGUGUACACAAACGACAUGGAUUCAGAGAUUCAGAGUGGCAUUGUAAAGUUGUAAACACGUAAGUGCCUUUACUAAAUUUAUUAAAUAUGCAUGAAGCUCAAUCGCAUCUGCAACAGAGUAACUGAAAUUGUAUGUGAUUUGAGGACAGUUUGUUUGCCAGGUUCAAUCCUUCUUGUUCUUGAAUAUUCUGAAGCUCUUCGAUAUGUUUCCAUCUUAUGAUGUUGCCAUCUCCAUCAAUGGGCCAUUCCAUUUAUUAAAUAUACCCAGGCACCCCCUAUUGAGGGGUCCCUUCCAAAUCCCCUUAGGAUAUAAACAUUUUAGAACCCCCUUGGAUGUGAUUUUUGGAAGUUACCCCAUGGAUAUCUUGAUACCCCCUUUAGGAUAUCGUUUUUGCCCCCUUGGAUAUCACUAAAACACCUAAUUUUUGCUAUUUUUUGGAAACAUUUUAGGUAAAAACCCCCUCCCCCAUAGGAUAUCCAGACCCCUCAAUAGGGGGGUGCCUAUAUUAAAUGGAAUGGCCCAUUAUAAAGGAUCCCAUAGACAGGGUCGAGUAUCACAAAAACAUCUUUGGUUGUUGGAUUCUUAAAAGUUACCAGAAAAUUUGCAACCCAGUGUUUUGAAUGUACUAAUGUUAACAUCUGUGCCAUCAGCUGUUACUGACCACAUUUUUAGAUUAGCAUUUGCAACUUUUUCAAGACACUUUUUACCAGUGUGGCUUAGUCCUUUGCAUUCAUUUUAUCAGCCAAGAGGUAUCCCACUGAACAUUUAAAUGACUUCUGGUGCCUACCAGAAGAAAAACCAAAGCUUCUGUGGCCAAUUUUUCUAAAUGUCCAUUAGGAAUCUCAUUUCCAAAGUCUACAAAUCCGUAGGAGUCUUUUUCUGGAUUCCAAAUGGUUUGUUUUCGGAUAGACAUUGCGUCUAUUACCAAACAGUAAUCUUUGUCAGUAUUUGAUUGGGGCUCGGCUGAUAAUGCUUACCUCAACCUUCUGAGAAAGGGAUGAGAAUGCCUCAUCAAUAAAGCCUGGAUGUAAUUUUGUGUAAUUCAUCACUUGAGGCACAUCUUGGUCUUUUUUUCUGAAAUUGAAGGAUCAUUUUCAUGUGCUGGACAUGGUCUCACGGUCUGUUCUUCUGUUUAAUUCCUCGUCAUGUGCUGUUAAUGUUGGUGGGUCAGAAUGUACAGGUGAACCAGAUGGAAAAGCAUAUUUUUUGAGUCGACAUGUGUUGUUGGAUGAAGGAGGCAAGAUGUAAUCAGUUGAUUGGAAAUGCUUGCUGCCUAUAUGACUGUCCUGGUUGACUUGCCAUGGCUUUUUAUUUACUUUUUUGAACAUAAUUCUCCCAACAUAUUUGUAAAGCAUUAUUUUUCAAAGGAAAUCCAUAACAAUAAUAAUAAUUUUUAUGUAAAUUCAGCUUAAUUAUCACCCUUCUAUCUGUCUGCUUGUCUUAUUUAUUCUUGUGUUUGUUUUUUUUGUUGUAGGUGAUGUACACAUGUCAAAAGUCAAAAUGUGUAAAAUAGGCUUGUUUUUGUUAUAUUUUCUUUGAAGUAUCUAAUAUCACUGGUUUAUGUGGGGUUUUUUUGGGUUUUUUUUCUGUGUUGGUGUUGUGUACUCAGGUGAAUAUGAUAUUUGUGAUGUUACUCUGAGUGUAUAUCCACACCGGGCGAGCUUGAAAAAUAUGCCCGGCCACAGAGGGAUUUGAACCUACGACCUUUGGAAUACUAGCCCAAUGCUCUUCCAACUGAGCUACGCGGUCAGGACGGUUCGAGUAAGUGAUAUUUAGGAACUGAAUCUAGUUCCUUCGAUACCAAUGUAUUCUAGUAAUAUGAUUUUUUUUUUGGCUAGUAUUCCAAAGGUCGUAGGUUCGAAUCCCACCAUGGCCGGGCAUAUUUUUCAAGCUCGCCCGGUGUGGAUAUACACUCAGAGUAACAUCACAAAUAUCAGGUUUAUGUUUGUUUUUUUUGUGUAUAAUUAAGCCCAAACUAAGAAAUAUUGUUGCAGAAACAUUAGUGAUUCUCAAUGUUUCCUCAAAUGUUUUCCCAUUUGCCCACCUGUGGAAACAUUGUUGCAGAAACAAAUUUUGCUUCUUGGGAAACAAGAAUGUUUCCUACCAAGUUCAGACUAAGAUUAUAGUUGCGGAAACAUUGUUUCUCCGUUUGCCCACCUUGGCCGGCUUGGGAACAUUGGCAGGAAACAAUGUGGAUUUUUAGUAAAGUAAACAAAGGAUAAAUAAAUACCUGUGAAAUGUGAAUUUUUAGUAAAGUAAACAAGAAAUAAAUAAAUACCUGUGAAAUGUGAAUUUUUAGUGAAGUAAAAUGAAUAAAUAAAUACUUAUAAUAAUAAAUAAAUAAUAAUAUACUAUCUAUUUCUUCUUAUUUCUCAUUCAUGGCUCAUAAGGGUUGUUAUCGUCAUGUUUAAAGGUCGGUCAAAAGUACAUUAUGAAAGAUUUUUACUUUUCCACACUCAGGGACAAAACUAGGUUUAACUUUGCAUUCUGCUCACCUGGCAUUUCGAAAAACAAAACAAAUAACGUAAGUGUAAAUUCUAAAUAAAAACUAGGCAUAGUUUUCAUGAAUUUCAUUAAAAAAGACAAAGUUUAUUCAAUAAAAAACAUCUUUCGGCAGCGACAUGAUUGCAUUUUCAAGGAUAUUUUUUAAAAAAAUUUAUAAAAUCAAAUUUAAAUGCUUGUGUUUUGGCCGCGCGUAUUUAUCGCGAGGAAAGACUUGGUUCUAACCGGAAAUCGCGGCUUCAAACUUCCGGCUGCAGGUAGCGUUCCAUAUAUUUUAGUUCAAUGG